ACUUAAGUAGUUAAUAUAGAAUAACAAUUUGUGGUGUUGUAGGAACUGGGUAAUUAGUCUUAAGUC
This 66-nucleotide transfer RNA is filed under the name Scantius aegyptius rossii. Its description in RNAcentral is "tRNA-His". The record is from RNAcentral. Lineage: Eukaryota; Metazoa; Arthropoda; Insecta; Hemiptera; Pyrrhocoridae.